Long non-coding RNA from Motacilla alba alba, 1961 nucleotides. RefSeq lists it as uncharacterized. The record is from RefSeq and is a predicted model, not a curated record. Lineage: Eukaryota; Metazoa; Chordata; Aves; Passeriformes; Motacillidae. The transcript has 4 exons.
CAGAAACCUUCCCUUCACAGUGCCCAUGUCUGCCCUGGAGAUCAACAGGUGUAGUCUUUGUUAACUACAAGUCACAGUAGAGGAGUUAAAUGAAUGCAGCUGAUCCCCUAAAAGGAACCACUAGAAAGAAUUGACCUCUCACUGACAGAGACAAGCAACAGAGACGGCAGGUGAAGCGAGAGAAGUGACUGGGAGACCUACCUAAGGAGGGUAAAGCAGAUGGGCUCAACCACACACCAUUCUUCAGGCAAAUCAGGAGGCAUGCUCAAACACUAAGAAACAGAAGCAGCUUAAACAUCCAGAAACAUGGGCAAUAAUGGCUUUCUUCAUUAUAUAGUGGUGGAUAUGCACUCUGAAGAGUGGAGAAAAAGGACAUUUACACUACAGCAAUCCUCUCUGGGAAACAUGGUCUGAAACACUCAUGAUCAAUUUUCUGUUCUAGAUGGUAAAACUGGCACAUCAGUGUCCAGAUCACUAUCCUGGAGUCAUUGCCCCAGGUGAAGUGAAGGAAUGAAAGCCUCAUGCGAUGGCUCCUGUUCAACUAUUGGCUUCAUGUAUGGAACACUGGGGGUGGACAUAUCUGAAAUGCUCUGUGCCUUUUUUUCCUUCCAUUUUGUCCGAAGAAUAAGUACAGAAAAACGUUGAUUCAUAUGACACCAAAAUACAUGAAAAAAGUAAAUGAUGGGCUUGAACCUAAUGCAAACACCUAGUCAUGCAGAAAGUGAAUAGCAGAUGCAAACUGGUGCUAUCUGCAUCAGCAAAUGGGGUAUUUUCAUUUUCUAAUAACUUUGAUCAAACAUGAAGAGCUACAGUGAAUAAUGAUUCCCUACCAAUUUUACAUUUACUUAUAUCAUCUAUUGCUUCAAAGUAGUUAGUAAAGUCUUUAGGGUGUACACAUCUAUGGUGGCUAUGAAAAAAAAAUUAAUCAAAUUGGAAAAAGGCCAGGGGGUUUUGAUAUAAGAACAGCAAAGCUUGCAAGGACCCAAACCAUCUGCCAGACGAGGAGGAGGAUGCUGCCAGCCCUGGUCUUCUCCCACAGAAAGGUGGCGGGAACAGCACCCCCAUGAAGCCCCCCUGGGCUAAAUCCAAGGGGCAGGAAAAUGUAUUCUGCUGCUGGUACACUGCUUUGUUUUCUUUGCAAGGAAAAGAAUUUUGGAGUAGCUCUUCUAUAGUCAGUUGCAGGCCAGUUGAGAGCAGGAGUUCAUAUUUUUCUGUGUUUUUCUUUUUUAUUUUUUUUUAACUUUGUUUGUUUGUUGUUUGUUUUGGUGGAAGUUGUGCUAAACUUCACACUAUCUGGUCUGAGUACUUUCUUCUUUGGCAUCUCAUUUUGUGUAUUCAGGGCAACCAUCAAAACAAAGGAAGUACCAGCCUGAGAAAAUGAAGUGUGAUGCACUGGAACACAGAGAUGAUUUGACAAUAUUCAUGCACUAGGAAGAAAGGCUGAGGAUGAGGUACAGCAUGUAAUCACAGUUGGCUCUGACACAAACAGCCAUUGUUAUCUUUGGCAAGUUACUUGAUAUCUUGGUAUGUUAGCACUUUCAAGACUCAGACGAGUGUUGCAAAAGUACAUUCAUUAAUAUAAAUGACUUUAUAAGCAACAGGAAAAAGCCAAUAAAAAAAUACUGCUUAGCACAGGCAAGAACUGCGCACAAAGGUGAAAGUUUGAAAAACAUGGAAAUCAAUGUAUGAGCCUAUUGUCUUUUUUCAGCAUACUUUUGGUAAAAGCUGUGAACUGCUGCAAGUGGUAGAGAUAAAAAGGUUAAUAGUGUCUGCAUUUGGACAUCGAAAACAAUCUUUAAAUUAUGGAAAAAAGGUGGGCCAAAGCAUCUACUGGCAGCAGUUAUGAAACACUGAAUUGAGGCAGAGAUGCAAGCAGCAGCACCACUCUGCCCUAAAGCAAAUCUUGGCUUUGUGUUCUUUUCUAUGUUCCCGUGAAAGGCAUUUUCCCAGUCAUUAACAGU